UGCCCAUCAACUCCUAUCCCUACCUGCUCGUGGUCUUGGUCUUGGGGAAGAUCGGGUAAACAACCCCCGGUGGGAACUUUGGUCGUAUGCUGACAGGGAAGG
RNAcentral lists this ribozyme (102 nucleotides) under Aedes aegypti (yellow fever mosquito). RNAcentral's name for it is "drz-agam-1 ribozyme". It matches the Rfam family "drz-agam-1 ribozyme". Lineage: Eukaryota; Metazoa; Arthropoda; Insecta; Diptera; Culicidae. The record is from Rfam by way of RNAcentral.